Stylophora pistillata is the source of this 1451-nucleotide long non-coding RNA. The record is from RefSeq and is a predicted model, not a curated record. Lineage: Eukaryota; Metazoa; Cnidaria; Anthozoa; Scleractinia; Pocilloporidae.
GAGGCCUAAAUUUCGUUCCGUGUUAUCUUCUUUUGUUUUCGUGACAGGCGUUACUGACAAGUUCCGGUUCUUUCUGACCUCUUGCUCUAUCAAUCGCAAUGAAAUACACUAACGAUCACGUUCAACUGAUCGAGCUACACGCGUGGAUUACGCUUUAUACUUGGACUGAAAUCCUAACAAAUGGAGUGUCUAUGGUCCCAUACACAAUUCGCCUCAGUCAGGUGGUGUAAGUGGUACGCAGCAGAAUGUGCUGGUACCAUGGCAGGAUAGACCGUGAUAAACUUGUCGAUCAUUUGUCGAAAAAGCCAAGACCAGCGUGUAAUUGUACAAAAAUCAGGUUACUAGGAUGGCAGUAACUGUCUUUAAUUACAAAACUCGGGGAUUCUAAAACUUUAAAACGACUUAGAAGAGUCCUGGGAAUUAUUCUUGGAAUACUUUGGCAAACUAAGUUAUGCGGGCUUAUAGGAGCAGAUCAGACGGUGACAGGAAUUGACGGCUUUGAAUCUUUAAUUAAUGCACAGACUAAACAAAAAUGUGUCAUGUCAAAAUGUGUCCUUUGAUUUUGCCCAGGCGGUGUGCGCACUCUGGAGAAGAAGGUCAGAAAGAACCGGAAAUUGUCAGUGACGCCUGUCACGAAAACAAAAAGAAAGUGAGACAGACAAAAGAUCGUAUUGAUGACGCGGUCAUUUUCAAGUAAUAACCAAUGAAUGAGUUGCCAGUAAUGGCAUCUUGUUUCUGCGCAAAGAUUUCUGGGAUCGCCACAGGGCAAACAUUGCAACUUGCUGGAAGGAAAGUGUAUGACGCAUGGUUGUUUCGACGUCCAAAAAAAACGAGUUUGUACAGAGAUCGACGCUCUUUCGCUGCAUUUUUAUCAUAAAUGGAUUAAACUAUUGUUGAUACGAGCAGUAUACAGGACACGUGUCAGAUAAUCAACUUUGUAAUGUGCCUUGCUGAGUGAAUGAGCACUGUUUCUUCAGCUCAGUGGAAGAGCAUCAGCGCGGAAUCUGGAAGAGUGCUUCAGAACACUUCAUCAUGCACUGAAUGGUGUAAAUACCAAAGGGUAAAACUGAAAAGCAUAACCGAAUACCGUAACUGAACAGCAUAGAUACACAACAACAACAACAACAAAUCCUUCUGGAGCCACCAUAACUGUUUCCUGAAGCGGAGAAAGCAAGCAAGAACGGUGAGAUGUGUUCUUAAAUCUUUACUUCUUGCAGGAUGUUAUUACUGGGAUCAUAUACAUUAAUCUAUGGUGUGAUUAAAGUUUCAAUAGCUGUUUUAUUUCUUAUGUUUAGUUAUUUUUUUAAGCGAAGAGUUCCAAAACUACCGCUUGUGUUCACGUUCGGUGAAUCGCUGUGGUUGUACCUUCGGUCUGCAUACCGAACAUGCUAUGCUCAGGACUAGAACGGUCAGGCUCCUGAUCUGCUAAACUUUAAUUUAAAGAAAGAUAC